Long non-coding RNA from Chroicocephalus ridibundus (black-headed gull), 385 nucleotides. RefSeq lists it as uncharacterized. NCBI's taxonomy places the organism in Eukaryota, Metazoa, Chordata, Aves, Charadriiformes, Laridae. The transcript is spliced from 3 exons. The record is from RefSeq and is a predicted model, not a curated record.
UCUGGAGAAGAAGAGGGACUAAUGAAGAUGUCUGGUGCAGCUCAUGCAGUUUAAUGCCAGAACAGCAUUGGUGCAGCAGUUCAACCUGGAUCCCGUUCACCUUGGGGCUUACUCGGGCCAGAACCAAAGAAGAAAGUGGCUUUCAUUUGGAAGGAACUCCACCACCGAGACAUCCAGAAGCUCCUAAUCAUUAGGAUCUACAACGCAGAUUUUCAGGUUUUCCUCCCACUUCAUCUACAUGCCCCACCACUGAGAGUCCGUAGGACAAAUUUGACUUUUCGUGUUGGCACAAAAACCUGCCCAUGUUGUGGGGCCAUGGGGCACUCACAACCCCUCCUCUCAUUGUGCUUCCAGGAGGAGGAAUGGGCCCUGGCAGUGAAUAACA